Molecule: ribosomal RNA, 497 nt
Filed under: uncultured bacterium
Lineage: Bacteria
Description: partial 16S ribosomal RNA
Rfam family: Bacterial small subunit ribosomal RNA
Source: RNAcentral
GAUGAACGCUGGCGGCGUGCCUAAUACAUGCAAGUCGAGCGAACGGACGAGAAGCUUGCUUCUCUGAUGUUAGCGGCGGACGGGUGAGUAACACGUGGAUACCCUACCUAUAAGACUGGGAUAACUUCGGGAAACCGGAGCUAAUACCGGAUAAUAUUUUGAACCGCAUGGUUCAAAAGUGAAAGACGGUCUUGCUGUCACUUAUAGAUGGAUCCGCGCUGCAUUAGCUAGUUGGUAAGGUAACGGCUUACCAAGGCAACGAUGCAUAGCCGACCUGAGAGGGUGAUCGGCCACACUGGAACUGAGACACGGCCCAGACUCCUACGGGAGGCAGCAGUAGGGAAUCUUCCGCAAUGGGCAAAAGCCUGACGGAGCAACGCCGCGUGAGUGAUGAAGGUCUUCGGAUCGUAAAACUCUGUUAGUAGGGAAGAACAUAUGUGUAAGUAACUGUGCACAUCUUGACGGUACCUAAUCAGAAAGCCACGGCUAACUACGUG